Gorilla gorilla gorilla (western lowland gorilla) is the source of this 90-nucleotide unclassified non-coding RNA. It matches the Rfam family "Y RNA". From Rfam's summary of the family: Y RNAs are components of the Ro ribonucleoprotein particle (Ro RNP), in association with Ro60 and La proteins. NCBI's taxonomy places the organism in Eukaryota, Metazoa, Chordata, Mammalia, Primates, Hominidae. The record is from Ensembl.
GGCUGGUCCAAGUGCAGUGGUGUUUACCAGUUCAGAUUUCUAUGUUCCUUUUCCACUCCCACUGCUUCACCUUCACCUGACUAGCCUAAU